Molecule: ribosomal RNA, 263 nt
Filed under: uncultured bacterium
Lineage: Bacteria
Description: partial 16S ribosomal RNA
Rfam family: Bacterial small subunit ribosomal RNA
Source: RNAcentral
CUUAGUGGCGGACGGGUGAGUAACGCGUGGGGAACCUGCCCUGUACAGGGGGAUAACACUUAGAAAUAGGUGCUAAUACCGCAUAAGCGCACAGUAUCGCAUGAUACAGUGUGAAAAACUCCGGUGGUACAGGAUGGACCCGCGUCUGAUUAGCUGGUUGGCGGGGUAACGGCCCACCAAGGCGACGAUCAGUAGCCGGCCUGAGAGGGUGAACGGCCACAUUGGGACUGAGACACGGCCCAAACUCCUACGGAAGGCAGCAG